Molecule: small nuclear RNA, 105 nt
Organism: Vulpes vulpes (red fox)
Lineage: Eukaryota; Metazoa; Chordata; Mammalia; Carnivora; Canidae
Source: Ensembl
GUGCUCACUUUGGCAGCACAUAUACUAAUACUGGAACAAUACAGAAAAAAUUAGAAUGGCCCCUGCACAUGGAUGACACAAAUUCAUGAAGUGUUCCAUAUUUUU